This 171-nucleotide small nucleolar RNA is filed under the name Ornithorhynchus anatinus (platypus). Lineage: Eukaryota; Metazoa; Chordata; Mammalia; Monotremata; Ornithorhynchidae. The record is from RNAcentral.
CCCCUCUAAAGAUGGCACCUGGAGAGUUUCCGGUACUUUACCAGACUCAACUACGGGAGGGAGAGUUACUCUACCAGUCUCAACUACGGGAGGGAGAGUCAAGCAGAGGCAUACCCAUUCCAUUCCUAGCUUGGGCAGUGGCUAGUGAGUGGAAGGCAAUCUGCUACGAGU